GACGAGCCCGCGUCCCAUCAGCUAGUUGGUAAGGUAAAAGCUUACCAAGGCUAUGACGGGUAGCCGGCCUGAGAGGGUGGCCGGCCACACUGGAACUGGAACACGGUCCAGACUCCUACGGGAGGCAGCAGUGGGGAAUCUUGCGCAAUGGGGGAAACCCUGACGCAGCGACGCCGCGUGGAUGAUGAAGGCUUUCGGGUCGUAAAGUCCUGUCGCAGGGGAGGAAUUGGCGGUGCAAGCCGCAGUUGACCGUACCCUGUGAGAAAGCACCGGCUAACUCCGUGCCAGCAGCCGCGGUAAUACGGAGGGUGCAAGCGUUGUUCGGAAUCACUGGGCGUAAAGCGCAUGUAGGCGGGUCGGUGUGUCGGGUGUGAAAUACCGGGGCUCAACUCCGGGGCUGCGCUCGAAACUACCGAUCUUGAGUUCGGGAGAGGAACGUGGAAUUCCGGGUGUAGAGGUGAAAUUCGUAGAUAUCCGGAGGAACCCCAGAGGCGAAGGCGACGUUCUGGACCGAUACUGACGCUGAGAUGCGAAAGCGUGGGGAGCAAACAGAAUUAGAUACUCUGGUAGUCCACGCUGUCAA
This 583-nucleotide ribosomal RNA is filed under the name uncultured bacterium. RNAcentral describes it as "bacterial SSU rRNA". It matches the Rfam family "Bacterial small subunit ribosomal RNA", at positions 224 to 806 of the family's 1533-position model. The record is from RNAcentral.